Molecule: ribosomal RNA, 432 nt
Filed under: uncultured bacterium
Lineage: Bacteria
Description: partial 16S ribosomal RNA
Rfam family: Bacterial small subunit ribosomal RNA
Source: RNAcentral
AACGAACGCUGGCGGCAUGCCUAACACAUGCAAGUCGAACGAGACCUUCGGGUCUAGUGGCGCACGGGUGCGUAACGCGUGGGAACCUGCCCUUAGGUUCGGAAUAACUCCCCGAAAGGGGUGCUAAUACCGAUAAUGUCUUCGGACCAAAGAUUUAUCGCCUUUGGAUGGGCCCGCGUUGGCUUAGCUAGUUGGUAGGGUAAAAGCCUACCAAGGCGACGAUCCAUAGCUGGUCUGAGAGGAUGAUCAGCCACACUGGGACUGAGACACGGCCCAGACUCCUACGGGAGGCAGCAGUGGGGAAUAUUGGACAAUGGGCGAAAGCCUGAUCCAGCAAUGCCACGUGAGUGAUGAAGGCCUUAGGGUUGUAAAGCUCUUUUACCCGGGAUGAUAAUGACAGUACCGGGAGAAUAAGCACCGGCUAACUCCGUG